UACGGAAGGCAGCAGUGGGGAAUAUUGCACAAUGGGCGAAAGCCUGAUGCAGCUAUGCCGCGUGUAUGAAGAAGGCCUUAGGGUUGUAAAGUACUUUCAUCGGGGAGGAAAAACAAAACUAAUAAUUUUAUUUCUUGACGUUACCCGAAAAAGAAGCACCGGCUAACUCCGUGCCAGCAGCCGCGGUAAUACGGAGGGUGCUAGCGUUAAUCAGAAUUACUGGGCGUAAAGAGCACGUAGGUGGUUUUUUUAAGUCAGAUGUGAAAUCCCUGGGCUUAACCUAAGAACUGCAUUUUGAAACUGAAAUACUAGAGUAUCGUAGAGGGAGGUAGAAUUCUAGGUGUAGCGGUGAAAUGCGUAGAUAUCUGGAGGAAUACCUGUGGCGAAAGCGGCCUCCUAAACGAAUACUGACACUGAGGUGCGAAAGCGUGGGGAGCAAACAGGGAUUAGAUACC
Molecule: ribosomal RNA, 455 nt
Filed under: uncultured bacterium
Lineage: Bacteria
Description: bacterial SSU rRNA
Rfam family: Bacterial small subunit ribosomal RNA
Source: RNAcentral